This 512-nucleotide ribosomal RNA is filed under the name uncultured bacterium. Its description in RNAcentral is "partial 16S ribosomal RNA". It matches the Rfam family "Bacterial small subunit ribosomal RNA", at positions 28 to 507 of the family's 1533-position model. The record is from RNAcentral.
GAUGAACGCUGGCGGCGUGCCUAAUACAUGCAAGUCGAACGAAACUUCUUUAUCACCGAGUGCUUGCACUCACCGAUAAAGAGUUGAGUGGCGAACGGGUGAGUAACACGUGGGCAACCUGCCCAAAAGAGGGGGAUAACACUUGGAAACAGGUGCUAAUACCGCAUAACCAUAGUUACCGCAUGGUAACUAUGUAAAAGGUGGCUAUACUACCGCUUUUGGAUGGGCCCGCGGCGCAUUGGCUAGUUGGUAGGGUAAAGGCUUACCAAGGCAAUGAUGCGUAGCCGAAGUGAGAGGUUGAUCGGCCACAUUGGGACUGAGACACGGCCCAAACUCCUACGGGAGGCAGCAGUAGGGAAUCUUCCACAAUGGGCGAAAGCCUGAUGGAGCAACGCCGCGUGGGUGAAGAAGGUCUUCGGAUCGUAAAACCCUGUUGUUAGAGAAGAAAGUGCGUGAGAGUAACUGUUCACGUUUCGACGGUAUCUAACCAGAAAGCCACGGCUAACUACGUG